UUUCCUAACAAGUUCCUCCUCCAGUGUUCUUCAAACCAAAAAUUAAUAAGAAGCCAUCUUACCUAUGAUAAGUAGAUCACACAUCAUAAAAUCUCAGUGCCUGAAGUUUUAGAAUGCUUAGCAGGACCCUACAAUCUAGAUUAGAUAAAACAAUAAAUUUACCCAAAAAAUCUCCAGGGAAGUUUUUUCUACACUUUUGUUUGAGUAACUCCCAACCCUGUGUGAUCUCUAAUAGUUCUGUGUAUAGGACUCUUUUAUGGAGC
Molecule: long non-coding RNA, 263 nt
Filed under: Bos taurus (domestic cattle)
Lineage: Eukaryota; Metazoa; Chordata; Mammalia; Artiodactyla; Bovidae
Description: long non-coding RNA NONBTAT026680
Source: RNAcentral